Neopsephotus bourkii (Bourke's parrot) is the source of this 1007-nucleotide long non-coding RNA. RefSeq lists it as uncharacterized. Lineage: Eukaryota; Metazoa; Chordata; Aves; Psittaciformes; Psittacidae. The record is from RefSeq and is a predicted model, not a curated record. The transcript has 2 exons.
AUGUGCUUAACCAAUAAGCAUUUUCCUAAGGAUUUUCCUGUCUAAACACUUCCAUUCUGGGCUUCAAUCCUGAGGGCAAUGCACAAACGAGUCCCAACUCCUUCCCAGGAAACACAGAUAAUUUGAUAGGAGAAUGAGUCAAUUAAUUAUUGACUAUGUAUAGGUAUUUCUUAGGUAGUAUUUCUUAAUGAUUUACUUCCCUCUUGUUGUUUGGACUUUUCCACCUACGCACACUACAUGUUGACCUAUGAGCAUAGAUGGGUACUCCUGGAAUCUGCUUGCCUGCCUAAACUCAAGCAAUUGAAAUUUGUGACAUGAAGCUUUGACACUUAGUCUGCUCAGCAUUGCCAGUCAAAUACAGUGGAAUUGCUCCUGGUUUUGGAAAUGAAUCAUACGAGUUUGCAGGAUUGAAAACUCCUUUAGAUCUGCUGACUACAAGAGCUGAGAACUAUACAAGUGCCUGUAUUCCAUGCACUUCUCUUAAACACAAGAUAAUCUUUCUCGCUGUUUUGAUGUAUACUUUUUGUAAAUGCAGAAGAUUCAUUAGUUAAACUAAACUAGAGCAUUCAAAGUAUUUAAACUAGCCAGGAUCCUUUUAAGUGACCCUAAUUUGAUUGUGAAUAUGUUCUACUGUAGUUGCAUUUAAUGGCAGUAGAUACUACUACUUGUAUUCCUAACCCUGAGUGGAAGUGCUUGCCUGUCUUUUGGUAUGUUUUAAAUGCUUCAGUUUCAAUUCAAGUUGCUUUUGAGUUAGAGCAGCAUAUAUGGGCAUCUCUGAGGGCAUGGUUUUGACUAGCAAGCUGAAAAUGCUAGUUAGCUGUUAAGCUAACUUUGUAUUGCGCUGCCAUUAUUAUAUUCUUGUUUACUUUGUUAUUAAAUUAUCUGUAAUUUUGUGAUGGGCAGUGGGUGAUUGAAAUCAUUCCCUGUACCUUUAUGACCCUAAUUACCAACAAAAAUGCUCAGGAGACCUAUUGUGUUUCAUUAAAUUACCUCUUGGAGCCAGUGUU